CAUGGCGGCGUGCUACCAUGCAGUCGAACGUGAUCCGCCCUUCGGGGUGGUGAAAGUGGCGCACGGGUGAGUAACGCGUGGAUAAUCUGCCCGAGGAUUUGGGAUAACAUCUCGAAAGGGGUGCUAAUACCGAAUAAGCCCACGGGGUCUACGGAUCUUGCGGGAAAAGGGGGGGACCUUCGGGCCUCCUGUCCUUGGAUGAGUCUGCGUACCAUUAGCUAGUUGGUGGGGUAAUGGCCUACCAAGGCGACGAUGGUUAGCUGGUCUGAGAGGAUGAUCAGCCACACUGGAACUGAGACACGGUCCAGACUCCUACGGGAGGCAGCAGUGGGGAAUUUUGCGCAAUGGGGGAAACCCUGACGCAGCAACGCCGCGUGGGUGAUGAAGGCCUUCGGGUCGUAAAGCUCUGUCUGGAGGGAAGAAAUGAUUGGGAGCUAAUACCUCUUGAUCUUGACGGUACCUCUGAAGGAAGCACCGGCUAACUCCGUGCCAGCAGCCGCGGUAAUACGGAGGGUGCAAGCGUUGUUCGGAAUUAUUGGGCGUAAAGCGCGUGUAGGCGGUCUUUUAAGUCUGAUGUGAAAGCCCCGGGCUCAACCUGGGAAGUGCAUUGGAAACUGGGAGGCCUGAGUACGGGAGAGGAGAGUGGAAUUCCUAGUGUAGGAGUGAAAUCCGUAGAUAUUAGGAGGAACACCGGUGGCGAAGGCGGCUCUCUGGACCGAUACUGACGCUGAGACGCGAAAGCGUGGGUAGCAAACAGGAUUAGAUACCCUGGUAGUCCACGCCGUAAACGAUGAGUACUAGUGUUGCGGGUAUUGACCCC
Molecule: ribosomal RNA, 820 nt
Filed under: uncultured Geobacter sp.
Lineage: Bacteria; Pseudomonadati; Thermodesulfobacteriota; Desulfuromonadia; Geobacterales; Geobacteraceae
Description: bacterial SSU rRNA
Rfam family: Bacterial small subunit ribosomal RNA
Source: RNAcentral